UCAUGCUCUAGUCUAGACUACUGGAGGAGGGUUAACAGACAGUCAGUCCUCUACUCUAUAUUCACCAUGCUCUAGUCUAGUCUAGACUCCUGGAGGAGGGUUAACAGACAGUCCUCUACUCUAUAUUCACCAUGCUCUAAUCUAGACUACUGGAGGAGGGUUAACAGACAGUCCUCUACUCUAUAUUCAACAUGCUCUAGUCUAGUCUAGACUACUGGAGGAGGGUUAACAGACAGUCAGUCCUCUACUCUAUAUUCACCAUGCUCUAGUCUAGUCUAGACUCCUGGAGGAGGGUUAACAGACAGACAGUCCUCUACUCUAUAUUCACCAUGCUCUAGUCUAGUCUAGACUCCUGGAGGAGGGUUAACAGACAGUCCUCUACUCUAUAUUCACCAUGCUCUAGUCUAGACUCCUGGAGGAGGGUUAACAGACAGUCAGUCCUCUACUCUAUAUUCACCAUGCUCCAGUCUAGUCUAGACUCCUGGAGGAGGGUUAACAGACAGUCCUCUACUCUAUAUUCACCAUGCUCUAAUCUAGACUACUGGAGGAGGGUUAACAGACAGUCCUCUACUCUAUAUUCACCAUGCUCUAGUCUAGUCUAGACUACUGGAGGAGGGUUAACAGACACUCAGUCCUCUACUCUAUAUUCACCAUGUUCUAGUCUAGACUACUGGAGGAGGGUUAACAGACAGUCCUCUACUCUAUAUUCACCAUGCUCUAGUCUAGACUACUGGAGGAGGGUUAACAGACAGUCAGUCCUCUACUCUAUAUUCACCAUGCUCUAGUCUAGACUACUGGAGGAGGGUUAACAGACAGUCAGUCCUCUACUCUAUAUUCACCAUGCUCUAGUCUAGUCUAGACUCCUGGAGGAUGGUUAAUAGACCAAUUGGACAUGUUAGCUGACUAGUGGGUUGGGUAACAUCAUUCUAUCCCACAUUCCAUUUCAGCUGUGCUAUGAACAGAACUGUAAAUUACUACUAAUUUAUAGCUACGUAAACCUACAUGGAACCCACCCACAUACCUGGAACUUAUAACAUGUAAACUACCCUACAAUAAACUGUUCACCUUUUGGAAAGUUUGUCAAUCUACAUAUUGUUAAAUGUGUUUUUGGUUCGGAGAGGAGAUAAUUCUCUGAAUGUUCUAUACAAAUGUUAAGGUAAGCAUUCUCCACUUUUUGAUGUGUCAGGGUUCUCUUCUCUUGAUGUGUCAGGGUUCUCUUGAUGUGUCAGGGUUCUCUUGAUGUGUCAGGGUUCUCUUCUCUUGAUGUGUCAGGGUUCUCUUGAUGUGUCAGGGUUCUCUUGAUGUGUCAGGGGUCUCUUCUCUUGAUGUGUCAGGGUUCUCUUCUCUUGAUGUGUCAGGGUUCUCUUGAUGUGUCAGGGUUCUCUUCUCUUGAAGAUUGAUGUUGGAGACGAAAACUAAAGCCAAAACCCAAGUAUUCUCAUCUGUCACGUUUUUUUAAUAUAUAUUUUUUACAUUUUCAACAAUACUCUGAUGUAAAAUCAAUCAAAAUGUUUCUCUUCUGUUGACAUUUGUGAGCCCCUGAUU
Long non-coding RNA from Oncorhynchus tshawytscha (Chinook salmon), 1545 nucleotides. Lineage: Eukaryota; Metazoa; Chordata; Actinopteri; Salmoniformes; Salmonidae. The record is from Ensembl.